CAGCACCUCAAGUGGUCAGGAUGAUUAUUGGGCCUAAAGCAUCCGUAGCCGGCGCUGUAAGUUUUCGGUUAAAUCUGUACGCUCAACGUACAGGCUGCCGGGAAUACUGCAGAGCUAGGGAGUGGGAGAGGUAGACGGUACUCGGUAGGAAGGGGUAAAAUCCUUUGAUCUAUUGAUGACCAUCUGUGGCGAAGGCGGUCUACCAGAACACGUCCGACGGUGAGGGAUGAAAGCUGGGGGAGCAAACCGGAUUAGAUACCCGAGUAGUCC
Molecule: ribosomal RNA, 270 nt
Filed under: uncultured archaeon
Lineage: Archaea
Description: partial 16S ribosomal RNA
Rfam family: Archaeal small subunit ribosomal RNA
Source: RNAcentral